GGAGAGUCGGCCGGACGGUAAGGCACUUGUCUGCUAAACAAGGGCUCUCGCAAGAGGCUAACGGGUUCGACUCCCGUACUCUCCGCCA
This 88-nucleotide transfer RNA is filed under the name Acidobacteriales bacterium 13_1_40CM_3_55_5. Its description in RNAcentral is "tRNA-Ser". It matches the Rfam family "tRNA". Rfam says of the family: Transfer RNA (tRNA) molecules are approximately 80 nucleotides in length. Their secondary structure includes four short double-helical elements and three loops (D, anti-codon, and T loops). RNAcentral also lists the same sequence under 2 other names. Lineage: Bacteria; Pseudomonadati; Acidobacteriota; Terriglobia; Terriglobales. The record is from RNAcentral.